Molecule: ribosomal RNA, 253 nt
Filed under: uncultured bacterium
Lineage: Bacteria
Description: partial 16S ribosomal RNA
Rfam family: Bacterial small subunit ribosomal RNA
Source: RNAcentral
UACGUAGGGGGCUAGCGUUGUCCGGAAUCAUUGGGCGUAAAGCGCGUGUAGGCGGUCCGGUAAGUCCGCUGUGAAAGUCGGGGGCUCAACCCUCGGAUGCCGGUGGAUACUGUCGGGCUUGAGUACGGAAGAGGCGAGUGGAAUUCCUGGUGUAGCGGUGAAAUGCGCAGAUAUCAGGAGGAACACCGGUGGCGAAGGCGGCUUCCUGGACCGACACUGACGCUGAGGCGCGAAAGCUAGGGGAGCAAACGGG